This 207-nucleotide ribosomal RNA is filed under the name uncultured bacterium. RNAcentral describes it as "partial 16S ribosomal RNA". It matches the Rfam family "Bacterial small subunit ribosomal RNA", at positions 524 to 729 of the family's 1533-position model. The record is from RNAcentral.
UACAGAGGGGGCAAGCGUUAUUCGGAAUUAUUGGGCGUAAAGGGCGCGUAGGCGGCCAUUCAAGUGACGGGUGAAAGCCCUCGGCUUAACCGAGGAACUGCCUGUCAGACUGGAUGGCUUGAGACCGGGAGAGGUGAGUGGAAUUCCCAGUGUAGCGGUGAAAUGCGUAGAUAUUGGGAGGAACACCAGUGGCGAAAGGCGGCUCAC